UGCCAUGUGCUUCUGGGAUCACAAGGAAGGGUGACGAAUCAACCAAAGGAAACUGCAGUCUCCUCGGUGUAAAGGGAGGAAGACCAGCCAAUCAGUGAUGGAAGAAUGGACGAAGCAGCUCCACAGAGGCAGCAGGCCUCUCCUCCUUAAAACAACGUUUCACUCCGUGUUCCUGAGUGUCUGGGAAACUGGUGGGGUAAGGAUUAAAGCGUGACGGACAUAGUUUCCUACUCAUAUUCUUUCAGUGGGUAUAAGGCACAAGUAAACCUGACCUGCCUGGCGAAUCUUACGUAGAGGCAGGUAAAAUCAUUUGCUGAGGAAGGACAGUCUCCAAAAGCACCAGUUUUACAACAUGAAUCAGAUCACGUCACCCCCUUGCUUAAAACCCUUCAUGGUGUAAUUGCUGUCCUCAGAAUAAAAUCCACCCUACCUCCCAGAGCCCACAAGCAUUGCCUGUCCUCUGCAACCACAUCUCUUGUGUUCUCAUUCUAACUCACUAAGUCUUGGUCAUCUUAAGCCAAACUCUUCCCCACUCAAACUCUUGUCUUGACCAUGGCUGGACAGUCUUCCUCCUGGACUUCAGAAGGCUGACUCAUUCCGGUGCUCCAGGUCUCAGUGCCAAUACCACCCAGUUAGAGAGGCCUUCCUGAUCCAUCCAUUCCCACCCGACCUCUCCCAUCCACCAUGCUGAUCUUCCCAGCACCGACCUCAGUGCACCUGUUUCUUGUUUACUGUCUGCCUUUAUCACAAAGCCAGGGGCACAACUAUCAUGUUCCUUGUGUCCACCACAGUGAGAGGCAACAGAAUAAUGUUAGGUAAAUAUUUGUUGGCUGGAUGAAUAGACAUGUUUGGAGGAAUGAAAGAAAAUGUGGUCAAGUACUUAUUUAAUCAAAGUAAUUUGUCACGAGACAUGUUUCUACAAUAUUUUCUUAGCCUCUUUGCUGAAAACUCUAUCUUGUCCUGCUUUACUUUACCCCAUCUUCCUGCUGGAAAAACAGUCGCAGUGACGGUGAAUGACUUAAGCUUAAGAACAAAGACCUAAAGGCAUAAGUUAUUCAUAGGGUCAGCUGAAUGAGGACUUAAUGCGUUGGUCCAGGUAUGCUGGACCUGUGCAGACUGGCACACUGUUUGCACAGCAUGAUAUGUCCUCUUAAGAAUAAAAGAGGAGCCCCAUAGCCCCAAGGGGUUUAUGAGGGGUCGUUAGCUGGAUAUGCAUUAGCAAAGAAGAACUGAGCUGCAAACCUAGGCACCCGGGUUGCUGCAGAUAGGCACGCUGGCUGCAGAAGCACAAUGGUGAUUCUCUAGAUGCUAUGCAUAGAUAGCUGAUGCCAAGCUUCCUCAAAUGCUAAUGAUUGUUAAAUGCCUAAAGGUCAAAAUAAAAGCUUAAUCAGCAACCGGCUAUAUGACUUUUAAAAUAACUUAAAAAAAAACCUAUAUCCUGCACCUACAACCCCCUUCUCACAUGACUUAAUCCUAAAAAACACAAUAAAAGCAGUGUGGUUUCUUCAGGUGGCACUCUUGGUCCCUGAGACCUUGAGUCCCCUGGUUCCCACCUUUACUUAAGAUAAAUGUCUCUGUGUCUUGUUUUAACUUUUUCCCCUAAUUUUCACAGCACCUGUUCUUCAGCCCCAUCCUGCUGAGCUGGUCUUGGCAGUAAUUCAUAAAGAUCUUUUAAAAAAUACUCAUGUCCUGUCCUCACCCACGUUUUAGGAGAGAGAAGCUAGGAAAGAGGAGGGCUAAAGCCUGGGUUUCCAGGUGUGUGAAGUUCUUGAUGAGGCUGAAAAAAAGGCCAACUGGUAGGAGCUUCACUGUAAAGAUUAAAGAAGCAGGUUCUUCAUUGCUUGCGUGGUACUUGCCAAGGGUUCCAAUGAACCCAUGAGGAGGUAAGAUAUAUUUAUACACUGAAUAUCCAUUUUGAGUUUACACAAAGGACUUCUCAGGUGACUGUGAGUAAGCCAUUUGGGUAAGUUUCUGUGCUCUUAAAUGAACCAUGUUUAUGGAGAGAAGUGAUGAGGCUUGUUAAUUUACAUUUGUAAAAACACUGAAAUCUCUGGAUGAAAGAAUUUCUGCAGAGAGGUACAAAGGAUGAGGUAACAUUUGGGGGUCAAAUUCUACCCUUUUGCAGAAGAGGAGAGGGAGGAGGCAGGCUCUAGGACUUACCAGGAGCCUCUGGCACAUUAUUUUUCAAGUCAAUCUUCUAAGAAAACUGCCUGUUUUCAAGUGUAUUCAUCACACAUACCAGUUACUAUACUAUUAACUAUUUUCCUUCUCUCCUAAAAUCCUAGCUUUGCGUAAAGGGAAUCUUGAGGGGGAUUUGCCUGUGAGGUUUUCCCUCUACAGUGCUUUUUUUCGUUUGUUCAUUUUUCACCCUACAUCAGUGAUAGCAGUUCCCAAGCAUGAGUCUUUGUUGCUGAGCUGAUUGGGACCCAAACAAGGUCAGUUCAUCAAUUCUUGACAGAUGUUUACAAGGUACAGUCAGAGAUUAGAGUAAGCUUAGGAGCGAGAAAAGAGAAAGAAUUUCAAAGAAAGCUGCCCGUCUGAGUUCAUUAUAUCCAUUUAUAGAAAACAGUAUUAGUAGUUACUCAAGAAUUAAUACCAAUAGGGUAGAACCUAUUCUUAGGAUAAUCAUCUCUUUCAGCAAGGUAAACACAGACUCAGAGAUAAGACAUUAACUGUGAAACUGCCAAGGCAAAAGCUAAGCUUAAAAAAAAAAAAAAAAGGCAACCACCUUUUCAAAAUGCCACAGAAAUUACACACUUGUGACUGCCCACAAGAACAUGUACCUUUCUUAUAUUUUUCUGGACCUAGUUUUGUUCUCUUUGGGUGGGAGGUGGGUAAUCCACACUCGAGUUACUUGCUCUCAAGAACAAGAAGGACUUACCUGCCUUCUACACCUUGCUCUCCUUGAAAGGAGACUGAGCUCCUUGUGAGUCCAGGCAAGCUAUGUGUCAUGGGAAAUGUGCCUUCAGAAGGUGGAAGGGCUUUCUGGUCCUUCUCUGUAGAUCAUUUCUCUGUGGGAUUUUUUUUUUUUAACAGCCGCACCUGUGGCAUAUGGAAGUUCCCAGCUCUAAAAAAAGCAAAAAAAAAAAAAAAAAAAAAAA
This 3101-nucleotide long non-coding RNA is filed under the name Sus scrofa (pig). Its description in RNAcentral is "lncRNA (ENSSSCG00055006057.1)". The record is from RNAcentral. Lineage: Eukaryota; Metazoa; Chordata; Mammalia; Artiodactyla; Suidae.